UGCGGCUCCGGCCGCGGGCUCGGCUCUGCGCGGCUGCGGCGCUCGAGGCCGGCCGCGGGGCGGGCAGCGGGGACAGCCACGGCGCCUGAGGCGCCCCGGCCGCUCCCUCGGCGCCUGCACCGCCGUGACCCCCCCGGCGGAGGGGCGACGGUGGGUCCUCACCGCGCCCGUGCCCCUCCGCCCCCGGUGCCUCCGCCCGCGGCCCCCGUCGGGCUUUGCACGGCCAAAAGUUAAAAUGUGUGGUGAUAAUGUCCCAGAUCAUUGGCGUAUUGGGGAGAAAUGCCUUGCCCCUUGUUUUGAAAAUGGAAAACUUCAUGAAGGAACAAUAACUUCUCUUGAAAAGGACAAGAAUGGAAAAUCAUUUGCUGUUGUAUCAUUCUUGGAGUCUGAAGAAAGGAAAAUACUAAUAACAAAACUUUGUAAAGUCAAAGACAGUAGAGGACCCUGGAAAAGCUUAAUAUGUGAUGAAGGUGAUCUGGAAAAGCCCUAUUUUCCUGACCAAAAUCUUCCAUCUCCUGGAGUUGCUUUUAAAUUAUCUGACAAUGGCGAUUUUAUCCCGUAUACAAUUAACAGAUACCUGCGUGAUUAUCAAAGGGAAGGAGCCCAGUUUCUGUAUAGACACUAUGCUAAUAAAAGAGGGUGUAUUCUUGGAGAUGAUAUGGGCCUUGGAAAGACAAUACAGGUCAUUUCAUUUUUGGCUGCAGUAUUGCACAAAAAGGGAACACGUGAGGAUAUUGAAAAUAAUAUGCCGGAGUUUUUGCUGCGGACAAUGAAAAAGGGCUCAGAUUGUAACCCCAAGAAGACUUUCCUCAUAGUGGCCCCUCUUUCAGUGCUGUACAACUGGAAGGAUGAGUUAGACACAUGGGGAUACUUUAAAGUCUCUGUCUUACAUGGCAGUAAAAAAGAUGAUGACCUGAGUCGCAUCAAGCAAGGGAAAUUUGAAGUUGCUCUUACAACAUACGAGAUACUUCGCCUAUAUUUGGAUGAAUUUAACAGUAUAGAGUGGUCUGCUGUGAUAGUGGACGAAGCACACAGAAUCAAGAAUCCAAAGGCUCAAAUAACUCAAACCAUGAAGUCAUUAAAAUGCCGUGUUCGCAUAGGUCUUACUGGAACCAUUCUUCAAAACAAUAUGAAGGAACUUUGGUGUGUUAUGGACUGGGCUGUACCAGGACUUUUAGGUAGCAGAGUGCAUUUCAAGAAGAAAUUUUCUGAUCCAGUGGAGCAUGGCCAGAGGCACACUGCAACUAAAAGAGAGCUAGCAACAGGUCGUAAGGCCAUGGUGAAGCUAGCAAGAAUAAUGUCUGGCUGGUUUCUGAGACGUACCAAAGCGCUUAUCAGUGAUCAGUUGCCAAAAAAGGAAGACAGAAUGGUGUUUUGUUCCCUCACUGAAUUCCAGAGGGCUGUGUACCAAGCUGUGCUAGAGACAGAUGAUGUAACCUUGGUGUUAAGAGCAGGAGAGCCCUGUAGCUGCAACAGUGGCCGUAAGAGGAAGAACUGUUGUUACAAAGUAAAUGCACAUGGUGAAACUAUUAAGUCAUUACGCUUCAGUUACCUAAUGAUCUUACAGAAGGUUGCAAACCAUGCUGCACUGCUGCAGACAGACAGCACUAGCAAACUGCAGGAAGCGCAUAUCAAACGAGUUUGCAGCCAGGUAUUUUCCAGUUUUCCAGAUUUUGUGCAGUUAAGCAAAGAUGCAGCCUUUGAAACUAUUUCAGAUCCAAAAUAUAGUGGAAAAAUGAAGGUCCUUCAGCAGCUUUUAAAUCACUUCCGAAAAAAUAAGGAUAAAGUUCUUCUUUUCUCCUUUUCCACAAAGUUGCUUGAUGUGCUAGAACAGUACUGCAUGGCAUCUGGGCUAGAUUACCGAAGACUUGAUGGAAAUACAAAAUCAGAAGAUAGGAUCAAAAUUGUGAGAGAGUUCAACAGCCUUCAGGAAAUUAACUUAUGUCUUGUAUCUACAAUGGCUGGUGGACUGGGUCUUAAUUUUGUUGGUGCCAAUGUUGUUAUACUGUUUGAUCCUACAUGGAAUCCAGCAAAUGAUCUUCAAGCGAUUGACAGAGCUUAUAGAAUUGGCCAACACAGAGCUGUUAAAGUGUUUAGAUUGAUAUCCUUGGGAACUGUGGAAGAGAUGAUGUACUUGCGACAAGUUUAUAAGCAGCAACUUCACUGUGCAGUGAUUGGAACUGAAAAUGCCAGACGGUAUUUUGAGGCAGUGCAAGGAUCAAAGGAACAUCAAGGAGAGCUUUUUGGGAUUCAUAACCUUUUCAAACUUAGGACUCAUGGGUCCUGUCUUACCAAAGACAUACUGGAGAGGGAAGGACGGGUAGAAGCAGGAGUCAUGACAGCAACUACAUGGCUGAAGGAAGAGAAUAAUUCGUGCAGCUCAGAAAAGUAUGAACAAACAGACUGUCAAGAAGAUGGAGAUCCCCAAAGCAUUCAGGCACACUUAAAAAGAGAAGAAACUGAUUUUUGGGAUCAUUUGAGUGAUGAUGAUAUUCUGGAGAGUUCUGUGAAAAAAUCUGACAGAAGAAAGCCAUGCAAUGAAAAUGUAACAAAAGGACAGCUUUCCUUAAUGCAGUGUGGAUUCUCUAAGUUGUUGCAGAGAGAAAUUGAGACUACCAGAGAAGGGGAUCACAAUUAUGACUCUAAUCAUUCAAGUUCUGAUGCUCACACGAUAAGAAAAAAUGUAAAUAGCAAGCAUGGUGGUUUUCAGAAAUGUCAAACCAGUGUGCCUGUUUUGGAGCAUGGGAAAGCUGUUCUGUCUCCAAAUGGAAGUGAUAAAGAAAGUAUGCAUAGUACAGAGUGGCUUGGUUUAUCAGGCUCUGAGGAGGAAGGCAGCAUAAAAAAUGAGAAUCAAAGCAUUUUAAAGCAAUGUGACAUAGUCAUGGAAACUGAAAGUAGUUCUGAAGCAGAUGAUGAUGUCAUCUUUCCUACCCAAGUUCAAGUAUGCCAGCAACCAGUGCUUACUAAAGAAAUUGAAAUACAUAGGUCAACAUCUGAAAAUUGUGAAGAGUUAGCAAAAGAAAAAGCUGGGUUUGUAUUUAAGGGAAACAGUAGACAAUUUGGAUUCCACAGUACUGAGUCAAACUUCGCCAUGUCUUUUGAAGAUGUCAAGAAUGACAUAGAUUUGAAAGGAACGAGCGAUGUAAGCGAUGAGUCUGAUGAUAUUGAGCUUCCCUAUAAUUCUGAAUCAGGAAAGCCAGGAACUCUGAGUUUUCCCAAGUGGAAGAAAUCUCUACCACAAGCAAAGAAGCCCUGUAGAAAAGGAAGGGAAAGUGAUUCCCAGAAUAUAGAUGAAUUCUCAUCCUCUGAAGAUAAUUUUCCAGUUGAGAAAAUUCAUGCCAGGAAGAAAAGCUAUAGGAGUAAACAGAGUAGCAGAAUUCAGUUUGGGUCUAAAAUGCUGUGUCCUAUUCAAGACAUGUCUGUUGCACAAAUGAAGUCAGGCAAUUAUGCUGUGCGUAGCACUUACGCAAGUAAAACUGUAUUUGAGCAUCAAGAAAAAAGAAUGGAAUCAAUGGACAAAUAUUUAGAUGGCGUUCAAGAAGUGGCAUAUAUUCAUUCAAAUCAGAAUGUGGUUGGAUCCAGCAAGGCUGAAAAUCACUUGAGCCGAUGGGCGGUGCACGACGUGUUUGAGUUGAAGCAGUUUUCCCAGCUGCCUGCUAAUGUAGCUGUCUGUAGUGCCAAGGUUCCAUAACAAUCCUGGAUUCAAGACUGCAGAGCCUUUUACAUUUCUUUCCCCAGAGCUGACAGGGAGUGUAGUCACAUUGUCUAUAUAAGGUUUUUAAAUGAAUUUUGCCAACUGACUAGUUUAGCUACAAUGUUCACAUUUAUACUACUGAGUGCUUGUUUGGUCUGUAUUUCUAUAAGUACUGUAUGACUCUGAAAGACAGUUUGGUAGUAGCAACCAGAAUAUAAAGUAUGCCAUCAAGAAACAUAAACAAGACAUCAUGAUACCUCUCUCACAACUUAGCAGCUGUGAAAGGUGAGAUAAAAUCCAGCAGUAAUAAAUGUAACAGUGUAAACUAUGCAUUAAUUGUACAAUCAAGAGAAUAAACCAUCAUUUGAUUUAAUAUCAUUACCCAAAAUAAAUCCUGUCCAGCACCUGAAUAAAAGAAAGUCUGUGUAUGACAAUAAUAGCAGCAAGCAUAUGUGGAAAAGUGUUUUAUCACAUGAUCCAUUGUGGAACAUGUUUCUUUUAUCACAGAAGUCCAUGGGGUUGCAUAAAAAUAGAAGAAGAUGCUCUAGGUGUUAGACCCCUGUUAAGUGUUGAAGGACAUACAAAGGAAGUUCUCUCCAGUGUCUUCUCUUCUCCAGGCUAAAUAACUCGAAGUCUCUCAGCCUUUCCUGACAGGAGAGGUGUUCCAUCCCUCCACUCAUAUUUGUGGCUUUUUUCUGCACUAAGAAUCACCUGCCUUGACCUGUGGCCACACUUCUUUUGAUGAAGCACAGAACAGUAUGACAAUCUUCCCUCAAAGAGAUGAUGUUUCUGAUAGUGCUGCUUAUGCAGAAGGGACUGAUGUGUCAAUACUUGGAGGUGUUUAGAGCCUCAGUAAUCAAAACAAAGCCAGGGAUUUCUGUUCAAUGCAAAAGUGUGGUAGGCAGCUGUUUCUGAAGAAAUUUUGGAGAUAUGGAUUAUACUGUAUAAUAGGUUAAUAGUACAUCUCAUCUUCCUUUAUAGUUAUAAACUUUACUUGCAUGUCCCAGAACCUAAGUGUCACAGAAAGUAGACAGGUGUGUCUCUGUGCAGUUUGAGAUCUCAUGCUACUCAUAAUCUUUGCUAAGUCAUGAGUGUUAAAGUGUGAGUUUCAUUUCUAUUUGUGAUGCCAUGAUGCAGAGAGAAUCACAUGAGGCUGUAGUAAAGACCUUGAGGUAGAAAAUGCAUGUCAUUAAUUGUGGCACAUGGCCACUCCAGUAAAGAUUACUGAGAGCUGUUAUAUGACAACAAAACAUACUUUAUGUGCUGCUUCACUGAAGAUUAUUCAUAGGAAGGGUUUUCUACUCUGUUAUAUACAAGGAUGAAGGAGAAAGAUUAUAUUGCAAAUUAAUCUACUGGAAUAAAUAUCUUGGGUUUUUUCUGGGAUUAUUUUGUUUGGUUUAGCCUGAUUUGAUGACAUUGAGCCCUCUGUGUUCUGCACUUGAGUUGAAAUUCAAGUCUUGUGCUAAUAAACUUUUUAAACAAUG
Molecule: RNA transcript, 5178 nt
Organism: Zonotrichia leucophrys gambelii
Lineage: Eukaryota; Metazoa; Chordata; Aves; Passeriformes; Passerellidae
Gene: ERCC6L2
Gene name: ERCC excision repair 6 like 2
Exons: 19
Source: RefSeq, a predicted model, not a curated record